Mycena epipterygia is the source of this 95-nucleotide non-coding RNA. The record is from the annotation of a GenBank genome assembly. Lineage: Eukaryota; Fungi; Basidiomycota; Agaricomycetes; Agaricales; Mycenaceae.
UGGGACGUGGUGUACGGUGCACCGCUGGAUUCAGUAGAAUUGCAUUCAUGAGCUGUAUACACUCGCAAGCCGGGGUUCGACUCCCCGCGUCCCAA